GACGGUUUGGCCGAGUGGUCUAAGGCGCCAGAUUUAGGCUCUGGUCCGAAAGGGCGUGGGUUCAAAUCCACAAAUGUUU
Molecule: transfer RNA, 79 nt
Organism: Ipomoea nil (Japanese morning glory)
Lineage: Eukaryota; Viridiplantae; Streptophyta; Magnoliopsida; Solanales; Convolvulaceae
Rfam family: tRNA
About the family: Transfer RNA (tRNA) molecules are approximately 80 nucleotides in length. Their secondary structure includes four short double-helical elements and three loops (D, anti-codon, and T loops).
Source: Rfam